Molecule: ribosomal RNA, 207 nt
Filed under: uncultured bacterium
Lineage: Bacteria
Description: partial 16S ribosomal RNA
Rfam family: Bacterial small subunit ribosomal RNA
Source: RNAcentral
UGCGUAGGCGGUCUUGUAGGUCAGAUGUGAAAGCCCACGGCUCAACCGUGGAAUUGCGUUUGAAACCACAAGACUUGAGUAAGAUAGAGGUAAGCGGAACUGAUGGUGGAGCGGUGAAAUGCGUUGAUAUCAUCAGGAACACCGGUGGCGAAAGCGGCUUACUGGGUCUUUACUGACGCUGAGGCACGAAAGCUAGGGGAGCGAACG